Molecule: ribosomal RNA, 497 nt
Filed under: uncultured bacterium
Lineage: Bacteria
Description: partial 16S ribosomal RNA
Rfam family: Bacterial small subunit ribosomal RNA
Source: RNAcentral
GAUGAACGCUGGCGGCGUGCCUAAUACAUGCAAGUCGAGCGAACAGACGGGGAGCUUGCUCCUCUGACGUUAGCGGCGGACGGGUGAGUAACACGUGGAUAACCUACCUAUAAGACUGGGAUAACUUCGGGAAACCGGAGCUAAUACCGGAUAAUAUAUUGAACCGCAUGGUUCAAUAGUGAAAGACGGUUUUGCUGUCACUUAUAGAUGGAUCCGCGCCGCAUUAGCUAGUUGGUAAGGUAACGGCUUACCAAGGCAACGAUGCGUAGCCGACCUGAGAGGGUGAUCGGCCACACUGGAACUGAGACACGGUCCAGACUCCUACGGGAGGCAGCAGUAGGGAAUCUUCCGCAAUGAGCGAAAGCCUGACGGAGCAACGCCGCGUGAGUGAUGAAGGUCUUCGGAUCGUAAAACUCUGUUAUUAGGGAAGAACAAAUGUGUAAGUAACUAUGCACGUCUUGACGGUACCUAAUCAGAAAGCCACGGCUAACUACGUG